This 649-nucleotide ribosomal RNA is filed under the name Russula sp. G3065. RNAcentral describes it as "eukaryotic LSU rRNA". The stretch from base 191 to 344 matches the Rfam family "5.8S ribosomal RNA". The record is from RNAcentral. Lineage: Eukaryota; Fungi; Basidiomycota; Agaricomycetes; Russulales; Russulaceae.
UCGGGCUGUCGCUGACCUUUCUUUGAAAGGUCGUGCACGUCCAAGUGCUCUCUUAUAUCCAUUUCACCCCCUUUGUGCAUCACCGCGUGGGCUCUCCUUUUUGACUUGUGCUGAAGGGGACGUUCACGUUUUUACACACACCCUUCGUAAUAAGAAUGUCUUACUUUUUGCGAUCACACGCAAUCAAUACAACUUUCAACAACGGAUCUCUUGGCUCUUGCAUCGAUGAAGAACGCAGCGAAAUGCGAUACGUAAUGUGAAUUGCAGAAUUCAGUGAAUCAUCGAAUCUUUGAACGCACCUUGCGCCCCUUGGUAUUCCGAAGGGCACACCCGUUUGAGUGUCGUGAACACCCUCAACCUUCUUGGUUUAUUGACCGGGAAGGAUUGGACUAUGGAGGUUUUUACCUUGCUGGGUCUCCUUUGAAGCCAGCUCCUCCUAAAUCAAUUAGUGGGAUCUGCUUUGCUGAUCCUUGACGUGAUAAGUAUGCUUCUACGUCUUGGGUUUCGCAACUGUUGCCUGGCAGCCCGCUUCUAACCGUCUUUGAAUGAAGACAAUGUUCGAGUUGUUGAGACUCGAUGCAGAAAACCUUGACCUCAAAUCGGGUGAGACUACCCGCUGAACUUAAGCAUAUCAAUAAGCGGGAGGAAA